UCUAGAGAUUAGAGUUUGAUCCUGGCUCAGAUUGAACGCUGGCGGCAGGCCUAACACAUGCAAGUCGAACGGUAACAGGAAGCAGCUUGCUGCUUCGCUGACGAGUGGCGGACGGGUGAGUAAUGUCUGGGAAACUGCCUGAUGGAGGGGGAUAACUACUGGAAACGGUAGCUAAUACCGCAUAACGUCGCAAGACCAAAGAGGGGGACCUUCGGGCCUCUUGCCAUCAGAUGUGCCCAGAUGGGAUUAGCUAGUAGGUGGGGUAACGGCUCACCUAGGCGACGAUCCCUAGCUGGUCUGAGAGGAUGACCAGCCACACUGGAACUGAGACACGGUCCAGACUCCUACGGGAGGCAGCAGUGGGGAAUAUUGCACAAUGGGCGCAAGCCUGAUGCAGCCAUGCCGCGUGUAUGAAGAAGGCCUUCGGGUUGUAAAGUACUUUCAGCGGGGAGGAAGGCGAUGUGGUUAAUAACCACGUCGAUUGACGUUACCCGCAGAAGAAGCACCGGCUAACUCCGUGCCAGCAGCCGCGGUAAUACGGAGGGUGCAAGCGUUAAUCGGAAUUACUGGGCGUAAAGCGCACGCAGGCGGUCUGUCAAGUCGGAUGUGAAAUCCCCGGGCUCAACCUGGGAACCGCAUCCGAAACUGGCAGGCUUGAGUCUCGUAGAGGGGGGUAGAAUUCCAGGUGUAGCGGUGAAAUGCGUAGAGAUCUGGAGGAAUACCGGUGGCGAAGGCGGCCCCCUGGACGAAGACUGACGCUCAGGUGCGAAAGCGUGGGGAGCAAACAGGAUUAGAUACCCUGGUAGUCCACGCCGUAAACGAUGUCGACUUGGAGGUUGUGCCCUUGAGGCGUGGCUUCCGGAGCUAACGCGUUAAGUCGACCGCCUGGGGAGUACGGCCGCAAGGUUAAAACUCAAAUGAAUUGACGGGGGCCCGCACAAGCGGUGGAGCAUGUGGUUUCAUUCGAUGCAACGCGAAGAACCCUACCUGGUCUUGACAUCCACAGAACUUUCCAGAGAUGGAUUGGUGCCUUCGGGAACUGUGAGACAGGUGCUGCAUGGCUGUCGUCAGCUCGUGUUGUGAAAUGUUGGGUUAAGUCCCGCAACGAGCGCAACCCUUAUCCUUUGUUGCCAGCGGUCCGGCCGGGAACUCAAAGGAGACUGCCAGUGAUAAACUGGAGGAAGGUGGGGAUGACGUCAAGUCAUCAUGGCCCUUACGACCAGGGCUACACACGUGCUACAAUGGCGCAUACAAAGAGAAGCAAUCUCGCGAGAGUUAGCGGACCUCAUAAAGUGCGUCGUAGUCCGGAUUGGAGUCUGCAACUCGACUCCAUGAAGUCGGAAUCGCUAGUAAUCGUGAAUCAGAAUGUCACGGUGAAUACGUUCCCGGGCCUUGUACACACCGCCCGUCACACCAUGGGAGUGGGUUGCAAAAGAAGUAGGUAGCUUAACCUUCGGGAGGGCGCUUACCACUUUGUGAUUCAUGACUGGGGUG
RNAcentral lists this ribosomal RNA (1494 nucleotides) under uncultured Rahnella sp. RNAcentral describes it as "bacterial SSU rRNA". It matches the Rfam family "Bacterial small subunit ribosomal RNA". Lineage: Bacteria; Pseudomonadati; Pseudomonadota; Gammaproteobacteria; Enterobacterales; Yersiniaceae. The record is from RNAcentral.